Molecule: ribosomal RNA, 965 nt
Filed under: Dictyocoela muelleri
Lineage: Eukaryota; Fungi; Microsporidia
Description: partial small subunit ribosomal RNA
Rfam family: Microsporidia small subunit ribosomal RNA
Source: RNAcentral
UACGGGGAAUGAGGGUUUGAUUCCGGAGAGGGAGCCUGAGAGAUGGCUACCAGGACCAAGGUCAGCAGCAGGCGCGAAAAUUAUCGAAGCCCGCCUAGGGGCGAUAGUGAGGAGACGUGUAUUCGAAGUACGUGUAAAGAACGUACUAAUAACUGGAGGUCAAGUCUGGUGCCAGCAUCCGCGGUAAUUCCAGCUCCAGGGGUGUCUAUGAUGAUUGCUGCGAUUAAAAAGUCCGUAGUCAAGCUGACUGACUGACCUGCAAUGUGAUUGAUUAAAGAACGAGCAGGGUUAGGAAAGCAGAGAAUUAGGAGCGACCGAGGGCUAGAGUAUUGAAUGGCGAGAGGUGAAAUUUGAUGACCCAUUCAGGAGUGACAAAGGCGAAGGCACUAGUCAAGGGCGAAUCCGAUGAUCAAGGACGUAGGCUAGAGUUUCGAAAACGAUUAGAAACCGGAGUAGUUCUAGCAGUAAACUAUGCCGACGCCGUGAUAUUGUUUUUUGUGGCGGUAUUGCGGAAGAGAAAUCAAGUAGGGCUUUGGGGAGAGUACGCGCGCAAGCGAUAAAUUUAAAGGAAAUUGACGGAGGAACACCACAAGGAGUGGAGUGUGCGGCUUAAUUUGACUCAACGCGGGACAGCUUACCAGGCCCGAUAAUCGAGCGAGCGUAGUACGCGAUAGAUUAAAGAGUGGUGCAUGGCUGCUAUCGACAGUUGGGGUGACCUUAGGGUUAAUUCCGGCAAGUAGUGAGACCCCUGCAGAUAGUGGACAGGUAUUUUUUAAAAUACAGGAAGGAAGGGACAAGAGCAGGUCAGUGAUGCCCUUAGAUGGCCUGGGCUGCACGCGCACUACAGUGGUCAUUAUAAGUAGAAGUUAGAUAUAAAGAUGAUCGAGAGGGACUGAGCUUUGUAAGAGGCUCACGAACGAGGAAUUGCUAGUAAUCGUAGGCUCAUUAAGAUACGAUGAAUAUGU